CCCAAACCGACACAGGUGGUCAGGUAGAGAAUACCAAGGCGCUUGAGAGAACUCGGGUGAAGGAACUAGGCAAAAUGGUGCCGUAACUUCGGGAGAAGGCACGCUGGUGUGUAGGUGAAGUCCCUGCGGAUGGAGCUGAGACCAGUCGAAGAUACCAGCUGGCUGCAACUGUUUAUUAAAAACACAGCACUGUGCAAACACGAAAGUGGACGUAUACGGUGUGACGCCUGCCCGGUGCCGGAAGGUUAAUUGAUGGGGUUAUCCGUAAGGAGAAGCUCUUGAUCGAAGCCCCGGUAAACGGCGGCCGUAACUAUAACGGUCCUAAGGUAGCGAAAUUCCUUGUCGGGUAAGUUCCGACCUGCACGAAUGGCGUAAUGAUGGCCAGGCUGUCUCCACCCGAGACUCAGUGAAAUUGAACUCGCUGUGAAGAUGCAGUGUACCCGCGGCAAGACGGAAAGACCCCGUGAACCUUUACUAUAGCUUGACACUGAACAUUGAGCCUUGAUGUGUAGGAUAGGUGGGAGGCUUUGAAGCGUGGACGCCAGUCUGCGUGGAGCCAACCUUGAAAUACCACCCUUUAAUGUUUGAUGUUCUAACGUUGGCCCCUGACCGGGGUUGCGGACAGUGUCUGGUGGGUAGUUUGACUGGGGCGGUCUCCUCCCAAAGCGUAACGGAGGAGCACGAAGGUUAGCUAAUCCUGGUCGGACAUCAGGAGGUUAGUGCAAUAGCAUAAGCUAGCUUGACUGCGAGCGUGACGGCGCGAGCAGGUGCGAAAGCAGGUCAUAGUGAUCCGGUGGUUCUGAAUGGAAGGGCCAUCGCUCAACGGAUAAAAGGUACUCCGGGGAUAACAGGCUGAUACCGCCCAAGAGUUCAUAUCGACGGCGGUGUUUGGCACCUCGAUGUCGGCUCAUCACAUCCUGGGGCUGAAGUAGGUCCCAAGGGUAUGGCUGUUCGCCAUUUAAAGUGGUACGCGAGCUGGGUUUAGAACGUCGUGAGACAGUUCGGUCCCUAUCUGCCGUGGGCGCUGGAGAAUUGAGGGGGGCUGCUCCUAGUACGAGAGGACCGGAGUGGACGCAUCACUGGUGUUCGGGUUGUCAUGCCAAUGGCACUGCCCGGUAGCUAAAUGCGGAAGAGAUAAGUGCUGAAAGCAUCUAAGCACGAAACUUGCCCCGAGAUGAGUUCUCCCUGAGACUAUAAGUCUCCUGAAGGAACGUUGAAGACGACGACGUUGAUAGGCCGGGUGUGUAAGCGCAGCGAUGCGUUGAGCUAACCGGUACUAAUGAACCGUGAGGCUUAACCUU
RNAcentral lists this ribosomal RNA (1301 nucleotides) under Klebsiella pneumoniae MGH 29. RNAcentral describes it as "bacterial LSU rRNA". It matches the Rfam family "Bacterial large subunit ribosomal RNA", at positions 1648 to 2925 of the family's 2925-position model. The record is from RNAcentral. Lineage: Bacteria; Pseudomonadati; Pseudomonadota; Gammaproteobacteria; Enterobacterales; Enterobacteriaceae.